GGGGAAUAUUGCACAAUGGGGGAAACCCUGAUGCAGCGACGCCGCGUGGAGGAAGAAGGAUUUCGGAUUGUAAACUUCUAUCAUCAGGGAAGAUAAUGACGGUACCUGACAAGAAAGCACCGGCUAACUACGUGCCAGCAGCCGCGGUAAUACGUAGGGAGCAAGCGUUAUCCGGAUUUACUGGGUGUAAAGGGAGCGUAGGCGGGAAGACAAGUCAGAUGUGAAAACCAUGGGCUCAACCCAUGAACUGCAUUUGAAACUGUUUUGCUUGAGUGUCGGAGAGGAAAGCGGAAUUCCUAGUGUAGCGGUGAAAUGCGUAGAUAUUAGGAGGAACACCAGUGGCGAAGGCGGCUUACUGGACGAUAACUGACGCUGAGGCUCGAAAGCGUGGGGAGCAAAC
Molecule: ribosomal RNA, 400 nt
Filed under: Campylobacter jejuni
Lineage: Bacteria; Pseudomonadati; Campylobacterota; Epsilonproteobacteria; Campylobacterales; Campylobacteraceae
Description: bacterial SSU rRNA
Rfam family: Bacterial small subunit ribosomal RNA
Source: RNAcentral